AGGAUCAGAAUCUCUUUAAAGACAAGAAAAGUACGAUUCCCCCAUUUACCACAUCAAACACCCCAAUGUACUUCCAGCUCAGGGAGCACGUCUACUUCACCUUUCUACUGGGCCAGCUACUCAUUCAGACACCUACCAGUACAUCCUGCCUACAGAGAGGAUAUAUGUCCGGUGUUCUCUCACCCCUGUGGAGAAAGGUUAACCACAGCUGCUCGAGGAAGAUGGACCCAAAAUAAGAAAUUUUCUACUUGGAUUUGGGGAACCAGUAAAUUCAUUCAGAUCCCUCAUUAUUUUCAGAGGAGUGAGGCACACAGCUCGAAGACUGCACUUCCCUUUGUCCCUUGCCAGUGAGAAGCAAGCGAAGUAAUAUAGAGAAAUGCCAGGAAGGCUAACUCAGGUGGAAGAUGUACUUCUUCAGGCCCCUUAUUCCUUUUUCUUGCUGCCUGAAAUUCUCCAGGCACCAGCCAUCUUGAUCCCUAAGGUAGACUUCAUUAUACAAACCACGUGCUAAAUGGCAGAUAAAAAUAUAGAGUCAUCAUAGCACCUCUGGUCUACCUACCUCAAUUAACUUUCUUUUACUUACACACAACAAAUUACAAAUAGCAUA
Molecule: long non-coding RNA, 607 nt
Organism: Panthera uncia (snow leopard)
Lineage: Eukaryota; Metazoa; Chordata; Mammalia; Carnivora; Felidae
Exons: 5
Source: RefSeq, a predicted model, not a curated record